AAGAGUUUAGGAUAAAAAUUUAGACCCGGAGCCUUCAAAGCCCCUAGUGGGGGUGAAAAUCCCCCAACUCUUA
This 73-nucleotide transfer RNA is filed under the name Ecsenius bicolor (bicolor blenny). Its description in RNAcentral is "tRNA-Trp". It matches the Rfam family "tRNA". Rfam says of the family: Transfer RNA (tRNA) molecules are approximately 80 nucleotides in length. Their secondary structure includes four short double-helical elements and three loops (D, anti-codon, and T loops). The record is from RNAcentral. Lineage: Eukaryota; Metazoa; Chordata; Actinopteri; Blenniiformes; Blenniidae.